UACCCUUCUAUAAAUCCAGCUGCUUCUCCCCCCACCUUUGCUUCUACCUCACCCACACCCACUGUUCUUGGCCAUAGCUGCCUACUCCCAUGGUCUCCUCGUCCUUGCCCUUGUGCUCGAUCGAUCACCAGCCGAGCUGAUUUUUCUCUUCUGCUUGAUCUCUACCUCUGACAUGCAUCUGAAGACCGGAGAGCAUCUGCAUCUGCCUAUAUCAUCCGGUCAUGGAUAUGGAUAGAUGACCGGCCUGUUCAUGUCUGAAGAAAAAUCAAAGGUUUGGUUUUGAUCGGCUUGAGAGCGUGCCUGGCUCCCUGUAUGCCACUCAUGUAGCCCAAUCCAUGGUGUGUUUGGAUGCUGUGGGUGGCGUGCAAGGAGCCAAGCAUGCGUGCCAUGAUCUCUCUUUCUGCCUUAAUUCAGUUUCAGACAUGUGUAGUUGGAUUUGUUUCCUCUAGGUGUUCAUGUUAAUUACAUAUUUCAUGUUGAUUUUGCCCGUUUGGAUAUGUGUUUGUCUGCUUGGUUCGAAUUGUUUUAGCAGGGGGGCAGAACUAAUCAAGGAUACUGCAAAUCGUUGGAAUUAAUUUCUUGUUCAAUCUUGAUCCAGAUAACUAUGAGAGCUUU
This 615-nucleotide precursor RNA is filed under the name Oryza sativa Indica Group (long-grained rice). Its description in RNAcentral is "putative precursor microRNA R160b". The stretch from base 295 to 382 matches the Rfam family "mir-160 microRNA precursor family". The record is from RNAcentral. Lineage: Eukaryota; Viridiplantae; Streptophyta; Magnoliopsida; Poales; Poaceae.